RNAcentral lists this ribosomal RNA (495 nucleotides) under uncultured bacterium. RNAcentral's name for it is "partial 16S ribosomal RNA". It matches the Rfam family "Bacterial small subunit ribosomal RNA", at positions 29 to 507 of the family's 1533-position model. The record is from RNAcentral.
AACGAACGCUGGCGGCGUGCCUAAUACAUGCAAGUCGAACGCUGAAGGAGGAGCUUGCUCUUCUGGAUGAGUUGCGAACGGGUGAGUAACGCGUAGGUAACCUGCCUGGUAGCGGGGGAUAACUAUUGGAAACGAUAGCUAAUACCGCAUAACAGUAGAUGUUGCAUGACAUUUACUUAAAAGGUGCAAUUGCAUCACUACCAGAUGGACCUGCGUUGUAUUAGCUAGUUGGUGGGGUAACGGCUCACCAAGGCGACGAUACAUAGCCGACCUGAGAGGGUGAUCGGCCACACUGGGACUGAGACACGGCCCAGACUCCUACGGGAGGCAGCAGUAGGGAAUCUUCGGCAAUGGACGGAAGUCUGACCGAGCAACGCCGCGUGAGUGAAGAAGGUUUUCGGAUCGUAAAGCUCUGUUGUAAGAGAAGAACGAGUGUGAGAGUGGAAAGUUCACACUGUGACGGUAGCUUACCAGAAAGGGACGGCUAACUACGUG